Sceloporus undulatus (fence lizard) is the source of this 134-nucleotide small nucleolar RNA. Lineage: Eukaryota; Metazoa; Chordata; Lepidosauria; Squamata; Phrynosomatidae. The record is from RefSeq and is a predicted model, not a curated record.
AAGCACUGUCUUUGAACCUGAUGUGUCUCUCACAGCCUCUCAGGCCAGGCAACGGUGCUAGAUUGUAAAGGCUUGUUAUAACUGGGGCUCUUCAGCUCUGCAAUGAAAUGCUCUUUUAAAAACAAGGCACAUUU